Long non-coding RNA from Gallus gallus (chicken), 619 nucleotides. Lineage: Eukaryota; Metazoa; Chordata; Aves; Galliformes; Phasianidae. The record is from Ensembl.
CUUUGACAUUGCAGGGAUGUUCUAAUUCGAUUAUCAGAUCCUGAAAGGUAGAACCUUUCUUGCUUUUCUUCUUGCACUCCAAUUAAGAACAUUUAGCUCUGAGUUUACAGAUCAUAAUUGCAGGCAAUAGGAGAAGACAACGCACCUCUCACUAACUGGAAAGGGACAAGAUAAGAAGGAGGAACUGAUUGGUUUCCUUGAUACGCUUCCUAAUUGUAUGGAUCCAAAUCAAAUCUCUGCUUUUAUCUUCUGCAGCUGGAGGAGUUUAAUUUAUUUUGCUUUCUGCUGUGCCCACACCUGACCAACCAAAGCAGCUUCAAGAGGGUCCCAUCGAUCUCUGCUGUUUAACCCCUGUAUCUCUUCCUAUGGCUUUCCAAAGGAGACUGCAGUCGUUUGCCAGAGCUCUGUAGAUACAGCAGUCAGGGAAUGCCCUUCCUGUUGCCCCUGAAGCUGAUAGCGCAUCCAUUCAUGCAUUCAUAUUCUUUUCAAAGGGAUGAGAAGCAUCGAGAGGAACCUGGCACCGAUGGCAGCGAAUGCUCUGCGUUCAGCAACAUAAUGGAGCCAACAUGGAUUUCAGUACUGCAGAACCAGGAGCUAUGGAAAUACCUGAGUGUGGGCC